UACGAAGGGGGCUAGCGUUGCUCGGAAUCACUGGGCGUAAAGCGCACGUAGGCGGAUUGCUAAGUCAGGGGUGAAAUCCUGGAGCUCAACUCCAGAACUGCCUUUGAUACUGGCGAUCUUGAGGCCGGGAGAGGUGAGUGGAACUGCGAGUGUAGAGGUGAAAUUCGUAGAUAUUCGCAAGAACACCAGUGGCGAAGGCGGCUCACUGGCCCGGUACUGACGCUGAGGUGCGAAAGCGUGGGGAGCAAACAGG
RNAcentral lists this ribosomal RNA (253 nucleotides) under uncultured bacterium. Its description in RNAcentral is "partial 16S ribosomal RNA". It matches the Rfam family "Bacterial small subunit ribosomal RNA", at positions 524 to 776 of the family's 1533-position model. The record is from RNAcentral.